Xenopus tropicalis (tropical clawed frog) is the source of this 555-nucleotide long non-coding RNA. RefSeq lists it as uncharacterized. The transcript has 2 exons. NCBI's taxonomy places the organism in Eukaryota, Metazoa, Chordata, Amphibia, Anura, Pipidae. The record is from RefSeq and is a predicted model, not a curated record.
AAAGGGAGGGGCGUGUGGGAGGGAGGUGUGUGUUAGGUCACUGUUCAUACCUGUGUGCGGACCACCUAGAGCAUCGCGCAGUCCUGUGCUUGAGCAGCAAACGCACCUCUCUAGGUGCACACAUACCUGCGUGGGUUCCGUACAGUAGAAUGCAUGUGCUUGCUGCUAUUGUGUCUAUGAGAUUACCCAUUUCUAUGGCAUUUUCCCUCUCUUUAAAGAGCCAGUCCUGAUCAGUAAGGAUGCCAGCCCUUUACUGAGGAGACAGUUACCCGCUGGGAUUCGUGAAGGGCAGCGGUAGGGCCACAAGUUGAACAUCACUGGAGGCUGAGCUGUGUGUAUGAAAAGGGCAAUUACACAUGAUAUGAAGUGACUGCUUAUACUUCAGGCUUAACUAAGGAAUAAAUAAAUGCGUUGUUCUCUAAACUCAGCAUAGUAAGACUUUUAAUAAAGUUGAAAUGAUGCUUUGCUUGAUUUCAUUCAGGUUAAAACAUUUGUGAUGGCACCUAUGUGAUUUUUCUGGGAUAUUUGCUAAAUAAACACACGUUCUUUAAAACA